Molecule: ribosomal RNA, 1940 nt
Filed under: human gut metagenome
Description: bacterial LSU rRNA
Rfam family: Bacterial large subunit ribosomal RNA
Source: RNAcentral
CCGGGACCAUCCGGUAAGGCUAAAUACUCCCGAGAGACCGAUAGUGAACCAGUACCGUGAGGGAAAGGUGAAAAGCACUUCGAACAGAAGAGUGAAAUAGUUCCUGAAACCGUGCGCCUACAAGCGGUCGGAGCAGCGUAAGCUGUGACGGCGUGCCUUUUGCAUAAUGAACCUACGAGUUACCGUUGCCGGCAAGGUUAAGGGUCAUGAGGCCUGUAGCCGAAGCGAAAGCGAGUCUGAACAGGGCGUAUAGUCGGUAGUGGUAGACGCGAAACCAAGUGAUCUACCCUUGAGCAGGUUGAAGUCCGGGUAACACCGGAUGGAGGACCGAACCAAUAAGCGUUGAAAAGCUUCUGGAUGACUUGAGGGUAGGGGUGAAAGGCUAAUCAAACUUGGAGAUAGCUCGUACUCCCCGAAAUGCAUUUAGGUGCAGCCUUGACCAUUACUAAUGUGAGGUAGAGCGACUGAUAAGAUGCGAGGGCUUCACCGCCUAUCAAGUCUUGAUAAACUCCGAAUGCGCAUUAGUUUGAGGUCAGGAGUGAGGGCAUGGGUGCUAAGGUCCGUGCCCGAGAGGAGAAGAAUCCGGACCACCUGCUAAGGUCCCGAAAUAACAGCUAAGUUAAACUAACGAAGUCAGAUUGCUAAGACAGCUAGGAUGUUGGCUUGGAAGCAGCCAUUCAUUUAAAGAGUGCGUAACAGCUCACUAGUCGAGGAGUUUGGCGUGGAUAAUAAUCGGGCAUCAAGUAUUCUACCGAAGCUUUGGGAUGUGUAAACAUCGGUAGGGGAGCAUUCCACUCGGCAUUGAAGGUGAGGCGUGAGCCUUGCUGGAGCGUGUGGAAAAGCAAAUGUAGGUAUAAGUAACGAUAAAGGGGGUGAGAAACCCCCUCGCCGAAAGACUAAGGUUUCCUGAUCAACGCUAAUCGGAUCAGGGUUAGUCGGGUCCUAAGGCUCAGCCGAACGGCGAGGCCGAUGGCAGAACCGGUUAAUAUUCCGGUACUACCUCAAGGAGUGACGUGGAGACGGAGCAGUGACAGUGCCGCGGACUGACGGAAUAGUCCGUUAAAGGGUGUAGAUGUUGAUUCCUGCAGGCAAAUCCGCAGGAAGAGUCGAACCUGAGAGUAUGGAGCGUCCUUCGGGACAAUCCAAUAGUGCACGUAAACAUACUCCCGAGAAAAUCCGCUAAACUUAAUCCUUGUGGUACCCGUACCGCAAACGGACACACGUAGUCGGGUUGAAUAUACUAAGGCGCUUGAGUGAUUCACGGUUAAGGAACUAGGCAAACUGACCCUGUAACUUCGGGAUAAAGGGUCCUCAGGGUGACUUGAGGCGCAGAGAAUCGGUCCAGGCAACUGUUUAACAAAAACACAGGGCUGUGCAAAAUAGAAAUAUGAAGUAUACAGCCUGACACCUGCCCGGUGCUGGAAGGUUAAGAGGAGAUGUCAUCGCAAGAGAAGCAUUGAAUUGAAGCCCCAGUAAACGGCGGCCGUAACUAUAACGGUCCUAAGGUAGCGAAAUUCCUUGUCGGGUAAGUUCCGACCUGCACGAAUGGUGUAAUGAUCUGGACGCUGUCUCAACCGUGAGCUCAGUGAAAUUGUAGUAUCGGUGAAGAUGCCGAUUACCCGCGAUGGGACGAAAAGACCCCGUGAACCUUUACUAUAGCUUAACAUUGAAUUUGGGUAAUUGAUGUGUAGGAUAGGCCGGAGGCUUUGAAGCAGGUACGCCAGUAUUUGUGGAGCCGCUGUUGAAAUACGGCCCUUUGAUUAUUUGAGUUCUAACCCGUUGUAACGGGGACACUGUUUGGUGGGUAGUUUGACUGGGGUGGUCGCCUCCAAAAGUGUAACGGAGGCUUCUAAAGGUGCCCUCACGACGAUUGGUAACCGUCGGCAGAGUGUAAUGGCAUAAGGGCGCUUGACUGGGAGACUAACAAGUCGAUCAGGUAG